This 453-nucleotide ribosomal RNA is filed under the name uncultured bacterium. RNAcentral describes it as "bacterial SSU rRNA". It matches the Rfam family "Bacterial small subunit ribosomal RNA", at positions 340 to 786 of the family's 1533-position model. The record is from RNAcentral.
UACGGAAGGCAGCAGUGGGGAAUAUUGCACAAUGGGCGCAAGCCUGAUGCAGCCAUGCCGCGUGUAUGAAGAAGGCCUUCGGGUUGUAAAGUACUUUCAGUCGUGAGGAAGGUGUUAAGGUUAAUAACCUUAGCAAUUGACGUUAGCGACAGAAGAAGCACCGGCUAACUCCGUGCCAGCAGCCGCGGUAAUACGGAGGGUGCGAGCGUUAAUCGGAAUUACUGGGCGUAAAGGGCACGCAGGCGGUUAAUUAAGUUGGAUGUGAAAUCCCCGGGCUUAACCUGGGAAUGGCAUUCAAGACUGGUUAGCUAGAGUCUUGUAGAGGGGGUAGAAUUCCAUGUGUAGCGGUGAAAUGCGUAGAGAUGUGGAGGAAUCCGGUGGCGAAGGCGGCCCCUGGACAAAGGCUGACGCUCAUGUGCGAAAGCGUGGGGAGCAAACAGGGAUUACGAUACC